CCUACGGGGGGCUGCAGUGGGGAAUAUUGCACAAUGGGCGCAAGCCUGAUGCAGCCAUGCCGCGUGUGUGAAGAAGGCCUUCGGGUUGUAAAGCACAUUCAGCGGGGAGGAAGGCGGUGAGGUUAAUAACCUCAUCGAUUGACGUUACCCGCAGAAGAAGCACCGGCUAACUCCGUGCCAGCAGCCGCGGUAAUACGGAGGGUGCAAGCGUUAAUCGGAAUUACUGGGCGUAAAGCGCACGCAGGCGGCCUGGCAAGUCGGAUGUGAAAUCCCCGGGCUCAACCUGGGAACUGCAUUCGAAACUGGCAGGCUAGAGGCUUGUAGAGGGGGGUAGAAUUCCAGGUGUAGCGGUGAAAUGCGUAGAGAUCUGGAGGAAUACCGGUGGCGAAGGCGGCCCCCUGGACAAAGACUGACGCUCAGGUGCGAAAGCGUGGGGAGCAAACAGGAUUAGAUACCCUAGUAGUC
RNAcentral lists this ribosomal RNA (465 nucleotides) under uncultured Klebsiella sp. RNAcentral describes it as "bacterial SSU rRNA". It matches the Rfam family "Bacterial small subunit ribosomal RNA", at positions 338 to 795 of the family's 1533-position model. The record is from RNAcentral. Lineage: Bacteria; Pseudomonadati; Pseudomonadota; Gammaproteobacteria; Enterobacterales; Enterobacteriaceae.